GGUUAACGCUGGCGGCGCGCAUAACACAUGCAAGUCGAGCGAGGGCUUAUUUCUCGCAAGAGAAGUGAGUUCCUAGCGGCGAACGGGUGAGUAACACGUGGGCAACCUUCCCUAUCGCGGGGGAUAACACCGGGAAACCGAUGCUAAUACCGCAUGUCGUCACUGGUCGCAUGGCUGGUGAAGAAAGCAGCAAUGCACGAUGGGGUGGCCCGCGGCCUANCAGCUAGUCGGUGGGGUAACGGCCUACCGAGGCGAUGACGGGUAGCUGGUCUGAGAGGACGGCCAGCCACACGGGGACUGAGACACCGGCCCCGACUCCUACGGGAGGCAGCAGUGAGGAAUCUUCCGCAAUGGGCAAAGCCUGACGGAGCGACGCCGCGUGUGGGAU
This 388-nucleotide ribosomal RNA is filed under the name uncultured bacterium. Its description in RNAcentral is "bacterial SSU rRNA". It matches the Rfam family "Bacterial small subunit ribosomal RNA", at positions 28 to 409 of the family's 1533-position model. The record is from RNAcentral.